RNAcentral lists this ribosomal RNA (465 nucleotides) under uncultured bacterium. RNAcentral describes it as "partial 16S ribosomal RNA". It matches the Rfam family "Bacterial small subunit ribosomal RNA", at positions 28 to 507 of the family's 1533-position model. The record is from RNAcentral.
GACGAACGCUGGCGGCGUGCUUAACACAUGCAAGUCGUACGGUAAGGCCCUUUCGGGGGUACACGAGUGGCGAACGGGUGAGUAACACGUGAGUAACCUGCCCACAACUUUGGGAUAACGCUAGGAAACUGGUGCUAAUACUGGAUAUGUGCUCCUGCUGCAUGGUGGGGGUUGGAAAGCUCCGGCGGUUGUGGAUGGACUCGCGGCCUAUCAGCUUGUUGGUGGGGUAGUGGCCUACCAGGGCGGCGACGGGUAGCCGGCCUGAGAGGGUGACCGGCCACAUUGGGACUGAGAUACGGCCCAGACUCCUACGGGAGGCAGCAGUGGGGAAUAUUGCACAAUGGGCGCAAGCCUGAUGCAGCAACGCCGCGUGCGGGAUGACGGCCUUCGGGUUGGAAACCGCUUUCAGCAGGGACGAAGCUUUUUGUGACGGUACCUGCAGAAGAAGCACCGGCUAACUACGUG